AGACACAGGCAAAGUGCCUGUAAAUAAACCCUGAGUGGGCAACAUGAAUGGCCGCAGACCAGACAAAAUGAGAAUCCAGUUAAACAAGUGCAUGAAAUAUGCCCCUUAGUCCACUCAGCCUGCAACACAAAAGCACAGAACAGGCAGCUUCUAAACCACAGACAUUGACUUCCGUUCUGGAGGCCGGAAGUCCAAGAUGGAGGGUCCCGCAGAUUCCGUGUCUGAUUGUUGCAGCAGAUCCAACUGAAGGAUACACCAACCAUUUUAAUCGGACACAAAAGAACAGGCUGUCCUCACCUGACCACCACCCACAACAACCGAACUUUAAUCAGACACAAAAGAACAGGCUGUCACCUGACCACCACCCACAACAACCGAAGGGCAGGGUUAUACUUUCGACACAACAAGACACAAUUGCACCAACUUCUCUACCAUGUUGUGGCAAAGAUCAUCUCCUGCGUUUUCCAAUAGCAUGUUCCUAUUUCCGUCUGAGCCCUCCCCAGAAUCACCUUUAACAUCCAUAUGUCUACCAACUGUAUCUUCAGAACAAUUGAGUCUUCUUCUGACAUAAAUGUUAAAACUCUC
Molecule: long non-coding RNA, 585 nt
Filed under: Homo sapiens (human)
Lineage: Eukaryota; Metazoa; Chordata; Mammalia; Primates; Hominidae
Description: long intergenic non-protein coding RNA 700
Source: RNAcentral